This 279-nucleotide ribosomal RNA is filed under the name uncultured bacterium. Its description in RNAcentral is "partial 16S ribosomal RNA". It matches the Rfam family "Bacterial small subunit ribosomal RNA", at positions 506 to 784 of the family's 1533-position model. The record is from RNAcentral.
UGCCAGCCGCCGCGGUAAUACGGAGGGGGCGAGCGUUGUUCGGAAUUACUGGGCGUAAAGGGCGCGUAGGCGGCGCGACACGUCAGGGGUGAAAGGCCCGGGCUCAACCUGGGAAUUGCCUUUGAAACUGUUGUGCUAGAGACCGGGAGAGGAUGGCGGAAUUCCCAGUGUAGAGGUGAAAUUCGUAGAUAUUGGGAAGAACACCGGUGGCGAAGGCGGCCAUCUGGACCGGAUCUGACGCUGAGGCGCGAAAGCGUGGGGAGCAAACAGGAUUAGAUA